This 607-nucleotide unclassified non-coding RNA is filed under the name Hevea brasiliensis (rubber tree). The record is from RNAcentral. Lineage: Eukaryota; Viridiplantae; Streptophyta; Magnoliopsida; Malpighiales; Euphorbiaceae.
CAGCAAAAAAUAUCUCAUUGACCCGUCACUCUUUUCCUCAGCUUUGCACCACACAAAUUUUAUUCCCUAUUCACUUCUUUCUCUGUCUGUGUUCCUGUCUGUGUCCAUGUUCACAUGAGCCUAUGCGUGUGUAUUCCAUCCGCAGUGUGCAAGGUUGGGAUCAGUCGUACUAUGAAACUACUGUUAUUAUUUUUUCUGUUAAUCCCUCACUUGAUCAUUACUACUCCUGGUAAGUUGAUUUCUGAGCAAGACCUCGAUCUCUAUUGAUCACUCUUGUGGCUGCUAAUGUUCUCAGUAAAACAUGGUUACCUGCAGCUGAACUGUUGCCGGUCCAGGCAUCAGCAGCAGGGGAAUUCCAGCCUGUGGAGCCGACUGAGUACCGGUUAAUCGCGGCAACAGUGCGAGGACGAAGGCUGGCACCCUUCCAGCUGUGCUUGUUGUGCAAGUGCUGUGCUGCGGCUGCUGCCACUACCUGUGCCACCAUGCCUUGCUGCUUUGGCAUCGAUUGCCAGCUUCCUAAUAAGCCUUAUGGGGUUUGUGCUUUUGUACCCAAGACUUGUAACUGUACCUCUUGUGCUUCCUAAUCUUUUUUUUUUUUUUUUUUUUU